Molecule: transfer RNA, 84 nt
Filed under: Synechococcus phage S-SM2
Lineage: Duplodnaviria; Heunggongvirae; Uroviricota; Caudoviricetes; Pantevenvirales; Kyanoviridae
Description: tRNA-Leu
Source: RNAcentral
UCGUGGGGGUUCAAGUCCCCCCGCUCCUAUGCCCUAAAUACAGUUGGGGUAUGAACUAAACCCAUGAAAUACCGCAUAGAAACA